Molecule: non-coding RNA, 46 nt
Filed under: Trichobilharzia regenti
Lineage: Eukaryota; Metazoa; Platyhelminthes; Trematoda; Strigeidida; Schistosomatidae
Source: RNAcentral
GUACUGCUGAAGAGUCCCAAACUAGGAUGAAGCAGCGGUCCAGUAC